This 631-nucleotide unclassified non-coding RNA is filed under the name Hevea brasiliensis (rubber tree). The record is from RNAcentral. Lineage: Eukaryota; Viridiplantae; Streptophyta; Magnoliopsida; Malpighiales; Euphorbiaceae.
AAGAAUCUUUUCGAACAAACAGAAGGAAGCCUCAGGACCCUCUUCAAUGAAUCUAAAACUGUUGUUGCAGGAGCAAUAUCAAGUGGUUCACGCAGAUUAUUCAUGCGAUUGAAUUCAAAUGUCUUUUUAGGCAUAUCACCGAGCACCUUCUCAAGCUCAAGAUCCACCGCAGGUGGAGGAGGAGGCAGUCCACUAGACUUGCAUUUUUCAGUUGCCACACUAUCAACCAGAACAAUACGGCCCUCACCAUUAAUUGUUCCAAUAACAGCCAUUGAAAGUCUUUCCCUUGAACAGAUAGCUUGCAAAAGAUCGCGGCUUUCAGGCUUCACCAGUAUGGCAUCUUGCUCCUGAUAUUCUGCACCCCAGAUUUCCAGAACAGACAUUGUGUGAUCGCCAACUACAAUUGCCCUUAUAUCAAUUUUGGCACCCUGUGGGUGUAUUAUCUCCUUCACGACAUUACAGUUUCCACCGGCACCCUGAUCAUGAAUGCUUAUGAUCGGGUUGCUGUCGCCCAUUUCAAUGCAAGCACGGACAACCCGAUACAACUUUUGUGCCAUCUCAGCAUCUCCACGCUGCACGGCAUUGAAGUCAAGCUCAGCAUCAUUCUGUCCACUGACCAUGCUGGAUGCAG